Molecule: ribosomal RNA, 464 nt
Filed under: uncultured bacterium
Lineage: Bacteria
Description: partial 16S ribosomal RNA
Rfam family: Bacterial small subunit ribosomal RNA
Source: RNAcentral
CCUACGGGCGGCAGCAGUAGGGAAUUUUCGUCAAUGGGCGCAAGCCUGAACGAGCGAUGCCGCGUGAGUGAAGAAGGCCUUCGGGUCGUAAAGCUCUGUUGCGGGGGAAAAAAGGCAGCAUCAGGAAAUGGGUGCUGACUGAUGGUGCCCCGCCAGAAAGUCACGGCUAACUACGUGCCAGCAGCCGCGGUAAUACGUAGGUGGCGAUCGUUAUCCGGAAUGAUGGGGCGAAAGGGGUGCGCAGGCGGUCCUGCAAGUCUGGGGUGAAACGCGUGGGCUCAACUCAUGAAUGGCUUUGGAAACUGGAGGACUGGAGGGCAUGAGAGGGCGGUGAAACUCCAGGGGUAGCGGUAAAUUGCGUGGAUAUAUGGAAGAACACCAGUGGCGAGGGCGGCCGCCGGGCCUGUUGCUGACGCUGAGGCACGAAAGCGUGGGGAGCAAAUAGGAUUAGAUACCCUGUAGUC